AGGUGUAUCCCCAGGUGAUCUUGUUAAAAUGCAGAUUCAAAUUCCAUACAUCUGGGAUGGGGACAGAGAGUCUGCAUUUCUAACAAGCUCCUAAAGAUACUAGU
This 104-nucleotide microRNA precursor is filed under the name Marmota monax (woodchuck). Lineage: Eukaryota; Metazoa; Chordata; Mammalia; Rodentia; Sciuridae. The record is from RNAcentral.